GCUGUGUUCGAAAGUUUCUGUUAAAUAUUUCAUAUUCCAAUGGAAAACUUGAGAAAAUCUAAUGGUGCUUCUAUACAUUUUCAUCCCUGAGUGUGUUUUAGAACUGAAGCCAACAGAAUGCUUGUUGUUUCUGGUACAUGUCUUGUAAUCACCUGUGACAGCUGUUAAACCAGAAAACUAUUAGCAACCUACUACGUUGCAUUCAUCAAACUAUACCAGUGCUCAUUGAGAGGUUUAGCUCAUGAAACUUCAUUUGUAAAGAAUACUUCCCGUUGAGGAAUGUCACCAAAGAUGCAAAUUCUAUGGGUAGAAAUACCAUAACAUCGUUCUUCUACUCUUUAACUACCCAUGGUCUCCUGUCAAUCGUGAUCUGAAUGGUGCACCAUAUUCACCUACGUUGCAGUGUCAACUGUAAUGACAGUCAUUUUGGCGGUUGUAAUCUCUACUUAGCCUACCAACGGAAACAGACAUAAUUGCCAACUCUUAGCCGUCUGCUGCCUAUUUGCUGGCCCUACAGUCUUCCUAGCCAUCGGACAGCAGAA
Daphnia carinata is the source of this 542-nucleotide long non-coding RNA. RefSeq lists it as uncharacterized. Lineage: Eukaryota; Metazoa; Arthropoda; Branchiopoda; Diplostraca; Daphniidae. The transcript has 3 exons. The record is from RefSeq and is a predicted model, not a curated record.